UAUGUAUAUAUAUAUAUAUAUAUAUAUAUAUAUAUAUAUAUAUAUAUAAUAUACAUACACACACACGUAGAUAUUAGAGAUGGCACGAUACCACUUUUUUAUGUCCGAUACCGAUACCGAUAUCAUAAAUUUGGAUAUCUGCCGAUACCGAUAUGAAUCCGAUAUAGUGUUUUUUAAUCAACAAAACUGUUUUUUAAAAUAUCUUGCUGCAUUUUGCAAGUCUGCAAGUUCAUACUCAAGUUUAAAACAACAACUACACUAAAGCUAUUCUGUUAUACCUGUAUACAAAAAAAAUAUUUCAUAGUUCAGCAAUACUGAUCAAUCUAAUAAACUUAGACCUACACCAUCCUCCCUAUUCUGGUUUUUUAAAGAGUACUUAGCAUAAAUAUUAAGCAACCUAACUAAUAGGGUUCCAACUCCCAGCAACAACAAAAAUAAAUAAAUAAAAAAUAGGGAACCACCCCUCACGCUCCACCUCAUGAUGCUUAAUCGACGUAAUCAACCUUAAUUUGAUGCAGUGUGAAAAAAAAUGCACAGAAAUCAAUUAUUUUUCAAGAAAUAUUAAAUAGAUUCAACAUCUUUCUUCAACAAAAUUGCAGACUGCACAGAUGGUACCUUCCCAAAGGAAAAAGUACUAUAGCUUACUAGGGUAUAUAUAUAUUAGACUUAAUAGUCACUAUAUACAGUAAUUGACUUCUAUUCAUUUUACAUCAAAUUAAAACUUUGGCUGUCAGAUAAUUAUUUAUUAAAAGCUCGACAUUUUAAAUGAGAAUAAGAAAGAAAAGUAUGUCUUUGUGCCCCCUUUUCCCUGUUCAUGCCCUAUCGGCCCCCCUGGCUAAACUUUGCUAGAUCCGCCCCUGCACAGUUACCAGCCGUCAGCUACGUAGAAAAAGAUCCUGGUGUAGAAAGUAAUAUUAAAUAAAUUCUAACAACAGCUGAUCAAGCUUAAACGUGCUGCUGUUGUUCAGCUGCUGGUUUCCUCUUUCUGGUGCAAAGUGGGCCAAAAACAAAGAUGGACUCAGGACAGAAAAGCCGAUCAGCUGAUCAUUUAAGCAGUUUCACGAUUGAAGUAGCAGCCGGAGAGCAAGAGGCAGUCGCUCGUUAAGCUUAAAGCAGGAAUGCUUUACAAACAUUCAGAGAUGGACUUACACACUUGCUUUACUUCUCUCGGGGAUAACUUUGUCGGAGAUGAAAUGCCGGGUUGCUAGCGAAGCUCCACAUGCUAUCCAGAUCACCGAGGUGAGUUACGGCGUGUUGCAAGUUUGUGAGGUGCUUUCGUGAUAUUUAAUGGAUCGGAUUACAUUUUUUAUUUUUCUCCGAUAUCCGAUCCAGUCAUUUAGGUCAGUAUCGGACCGAUACCGAUACGUAAUAUCGGAUCGGUCCAUCUCUAGUAGAUAUACAUAUUUAGUAUACACAUUCAGUAAUGCGCAUACACUCUUAUAUUGUACAUAUAUUUAUUCAUAUAAUUCACAGAUUUACCCAUUCUUAUAUUUUGCUUGUUCUUAUGUUAUUGUAUUUUUACACACCUCUGUUGCUUGUGAAGCUUGCACACAAGAAUUUCACUCGCAUGUACUGUACCAGUGUACCUGCACAUGUGAUGUGACAAUAAAAGUGAUUUGAUUUGGAAUUUUCCAUGACGAGUAACAAUGACAACUAGAAAGUGCAUUUUCUGAAGAAACUGCAGUGUGAAUGCUUGAAUCUGAAUGUAUGCACUGAAAUGAAUUAAUUGCUGAAUUUUGAGUUAAAAAUAUUGAAUGAGAUUAAAAAAAACCCCAAAAAAACCCGAAUUUAACCUGAAAACAAAGGUGCUGAACUGCUAAAAGCUGAACGUUACACAGAAGAAGGAGUUGGAAAAAAACUGAAAAUGUUUUAAAUGUAAAUUAGAAAACCUAAGAAAUGAGAAAAGAACAUUUAGAGUCAGAAAACAUCUGAAUGAAUAUUAAAAGGUCAUAUUCUUUGAAUCACUGAAUGACUAAAAUGUGAUCCCUCCACUUGGACCCACACAGUUUAAAAAGUUUACAUCUCUGAGCUUUGAAAGACAAGAUGUUGGAAAAAGAACAACGAUGGUGACGUUUUGAGGGUAAAAUGAUGGCUUUAACACUGUGGACACAGCAGCAGUUGAAAGAGAAGUGUUUAAGAUGAAUCUUGGCAGAGAGAGAGAGAGAGAGCUCGUUAAGCAGGCAGGUGUGAGCCUGGUUGCUAUAGUGACCACACCCAAGGGCUCCAUACACACGUACACAGACAUGCGCCUCACUUUUGCUGCUUAAAAUGAACAGAAAAGUCAGGCCGAAACAAAUCGUUCCCAUAUGAAAAGUACAAGUCGUAUUGACAAACUUCUUUCACCGUGAGCGACAGCAAUGUCUAGUCUACUGAAUUCUCAGUUUUCAUGCCUGUGGAGCUUAUUAUAUGGACGUGGUGACAGUGGAAAGACACCAUGCUCUUCUGAUUUUCAAAAGAACCUUCUGAGCCAUUUUAACAUUAGAGUCUAUGGAAGAGUUGGAGGGAGGAGGCUGUGCAUUGGUGACAUUUAUGAAAGAACCAUAACACCUAGGACAAUAGUAAACACAUUGGAUGAAAGAGGACAGCGAUGGCUACGUUUUGAGGGUAAAAUGGUGGCUGUAGAGCAAACGCUGUGGACACAGCAGCAGUUUUAAAAAAUAUUUUAAGAUUAAUUUUUUUGCUCCUCUCACUCUAGCAGUUGAGCUCUCUCACUCUAGCCCCAACAUUCCGUCCCAUACACACCCAUUAUAAACUCUGAAACGGGUGAAAAAACAUCAUGAAACUUAAACUGGAACUGAAGAAAAAGUAUAAUAGAUAUUGAAAAGAUAAAUACAAGUUGAAUAGUUGAAUGUCUUGUCUUCGUUUUAAAGUUUGAAUGGUGGCUCUAUGUCAAUGUAUGUGGAAGUAGUAAGAGUUUAAAAAUGAGUAAGUUGAAUGAGGAUUUGAAGGGUCUCCCCAUUGAAAUACAUUAUAAAUUUUUCUUGAAUAAAGUUGAAUAAAAUUAAAAAUAUAAAUGUUAAAAAUAUGAAAAAUAGAAGCAGUGUUGUCCAAAAGAAUAGGAAUCUAACGGUGUUUGAAUGGUUUUUCUAAGUUGAACGGUUUUGAAGGAGUAGGAUUACAAAAAACGUACGGAAGAAUAAUAAAAUAUAAUAAUAAUAAUAAAGAUUCGAAUAACAAUACUGUGAAUGCUUUUCAAGCAUUCACACUAACUAGAAAGUGCAUUUUCUGAAGAAACUGCAGUGUGAAUGCUUGAAUCUGAAUGUAUGCAUUGAAAUGAAAUAAUUACUGAAUUUAAGUUAAAAAUUUUGAAUGAGAUUAAAAAAAAACCCCGAAUUUAACCUGAAAACAAAAGUGCUGAACUGCUAAAAGCUGAAGGUUACACAGAAGAAGAAGUUGGAAAAAAGCUGAAAAUGUUUUAAUUGUAAAUGAGAAAAACCUAAGAAAUGAGAAAAGAACAUUUAGAGUCAGAAAACAUCUGAAAGAAUAUUAAAAGGUCAUAUUCUUUGAAUCACUGAAUGACUAAAAUGUGAUCCCUCCACUUGGACCCACACAGUUUAAAAAGUUUACAUCUCUGAGCUUUGAAAGACAAGAUGUUGGAAAAAGAACAACGAUGGCGACGUUUUGAGGGUAAAAUGAUGGCUUUAACACUGUGGACACAGCAGCAGUUGAAAGAGAAGUGUUUAAGAUGAAUCUUGGCAGAGUAAGAGAGAGCUAGUUAAGCAGGCAGGUGUGAGCCUGGUUGCUAUAGUAACUGCACCCAAUGGCUCCAUACACACGUACACAGACAUGCGCCUCACUUUUGCUGCUUAAAAUGAACAGAAAAGUCAGGCCGAAACAAAUCGUUCCCAAAUGAAAAGUAAAAGUCGUAUUGACAAAAUUCUUUCACUGUGAGCGACAGCAAUGUCUAGUCUACCAAAUUCUCAGUUUUCAUGUCUGUGGAGUUUAUUAUAUGGACGUGGUGACAGUGGAAAGACACCAUGCUCUUCUGAUUUUCAAACGAACCUUCUGAGCCAUUUUAACAUUAGAGUCUAUGGAAGAGUUGGAGGGAGGAGGCUGUGCAUUGGUGACAUUUAUGAAAGAACCAUAAGACCUAGUACAAUAGUAAACACAUUGGAUGAAAGAGGACAGCCAUGGCUACGUUUUGAGGGUAAAAUCAUACCUGUAGAGCAAACGCUGCGGACACAGCAGCAGUUUUAAAAAAGAUUUUAAGAUUAAUUUUUUUGCUCCUCUCACUCUAGCAGUUGAGCUCUCUCACUCUAGCCCCAACAUUCCGUCCCAUACACACCCAUUAUAAACUCUGAAACGGGUGAAAAAACAUCAUGAAACUUAAACUGGAACUGAAGAAAAAGUAUAAUAGAUAUUGAAAAGAUAAAUACAAGUUGAAUAGUUGAAUGUCUUGUCUUCGUUUUAAAGUUUGAAUGGUGGCUCUAUGUCAAUGUAUGUGGAAGUAGAUACAGUUUAAAGAGGAGGAAGUUGAAUGAGAAUUUGAAGGGUCUCCCCAUUGAAAUACAUUAUAAAUUUUUGUUGAAAAAAGUUGAAUAAAAUUAAAAAUAUAAAUGUUAAAAAUGAGAAAAAUAGAAGCAAUGUUGUCCAAAAUAAUAGGAAUCUAACGGUGUUUGAAUGGUUUUUCUAAGUUGAACGGUUUUGAAGGAGUAGGCUUUCAAAAAACGUACGGAAAAAUAAAAUAUAACUAGAAAGUGCAUUUUCUGAAGAAACUGCAGUGUGAAUGCUUGAAUCUGAAUGUAUGCACUGAAAUGAAUUAAUUGCUGAAUUUUGAGUUAAAAAUUUUGAAUGAGAUAAAAAAAAAAAAAAACAAAUUUAACCUGAAAACAAAAGUGCUGAACUGCUAAAAGCUGAAGGUUACACAGAAGAAGAAGUUGGAAAAAAGCUGAAAAUGUUUUAAUUGUAAAUUAGAAAAACCUAAGAAAUGAGAAAAGAACAUUUAGAGUCAGAAAAC
This is a long non-coding RNA of Astatotilapia calliptera (eastern happy), 4957 nucleotides long. The record is from Ensembl. Lineage: Eukaryota; Metazoa; Chordata; Actinopteri; Cichliformes; Cichlidae.